UACAUCGUUCUGCCUUCUAUAGCUUCAGUCUACCGCCUUACCUCAAAAGUGUAACACCUAAAUUUUUUAUCCUUAAGUAUUCAAAAUGUUCAUUGGCCCAGUUCAAAAAGAGCAUCUGCACCAGAUGAUCCUGGGCUGUGGUUGGCCUUGUGGAUCUCUAAGUGGGCCAUGUUGUUGUAGUGGAUGCUGCGGCAGCUGCUGUGGAGGUUGCUGUGGAGGAGGCUGCGGCGGCUGCUGCUGAUAAUCGGGCUGAUUUUCAUCGUGUCAGUUUUGGACGGGGACCAAUGGGCUGCCGUUUUGCCAGUACAAUCUCAUCGAGAAAGAAACCACAUUCAACAUCUUCUGGCAAAGGCAAUAUUAUGUGCAUAGUUUAACAAAUAAAGUGUGAGGCUUUUCCUAUAAUUUUCGUGUUUUUAUUGUGGUCUUUGAAGUAUGAUGACAAGAUUAAUCGCUUAAUUCCAGUAUUCGGUUUCAAAGACUGAAAAAAAAAAAAUAAAAAAAUAAAGAAAAAACUCGGGUCGCUGACAGCACAUUUUAUUCCCGAAGCAUAUCGCUCCGAAGGCACUAAGGCACCAGGAGUGGAUAAGCAUCGUAAUGUGAUCUUAGAUACUGCAUGCAUAGCCGCCUUAUGAAAAAUCCAAAAAUUUAUUGAAUUCCUUUCCCUAGAUGUUUGUGGCAAGCUGCGGUACAUCUCAAGCUCUCUCUUUUCCGCACAGUGUAAGCAUCAUAGUGCUUUCUUUUCAUAUGCGCCAUAUUUGAUGUGUUACCACUUGUUUUUAUUAAUUUAAGGCACAAAUUACAUUUUGCUGCUCCAUUUUUAAAGUUCGAAUAAUUCGUUUUUCCAUAUUCAAUUUUUUUUUUUUUUACUUUUUUGCUUGAUUCAUUUAUGACGAGAUUGACCAUCUCCAAUAUAUCAAUAAAUCGCAAAAAAUAUUCGAUAUUUGGCCAAAAAAAAUAUAACGAUAUAAAUAUAAUUUUUAAACAACAAAAUAACGAUAUAUUGAUAUUUUGAUAUAUUUUCGACAGCCCAAUUUUAUACGCCAUAACCAUAUAAGUCGUUAUAACCGGGUUCUACUAUAUAUAUAGCCGAUCGAGCCAUGACUGAUGGAUUAUGGGUAGCUCUUCUACUCCACCGAAACUCGAAUAGAACGUAUUUUAAAUAGUGGAGACUACUUAGUGUUACUUAUUUUGGUUGUGAUAGGUAUCAAUGCUUUUGCUCUCUAAUUCACUGGCUGGUCCUCGCUCGAAAUGGUGCACCGUUUUUCUUAACUGCUUAUCGACUAAAAAGUCCAACUUUCUUAAACUGCUGCUCACAUGGGAAUUAUGGGAUAUUUCGCAUUAACCUUCAAAGCUUAGUCUUUAUAAAUACUCUAGCUAAACGCUGCCAACAUCUUUUCGGUCAAUAGCUCUCAUCUUGUUCAUCUCCAAUUUACUGUUGAAUAUUUGCUCCAAUUACAUCUCUUUUAGUCUUUUUAUUAGUCAAUCUAGUUAUAUUUUCAAAUUGAUUUCAAGUUUGUGUAAUACAAAAAUUUGUAUCUGGUAAAGUUAGCAUUGAGAAGCCUGUCAUCAAUUUUAGUACCUGAGCUCGCACCGUGUUCUAUAGCUUCAGUCUCACACAACUAUUCAAAAGUUCAACAUCUAAAUUUCUAUUAAAUUUAAUUCUGCAAAAAUGUUCAUCGGUCCAGUCCAAAAGGAACAUCUGCACAACAUGAUCCUAGGUUGUGGCUGGCCUUGCGGGUCGUUGAGCGGUCCCUGCUGCUGCAGCGGUUGCUGCGGCAGUUGUUGUGGUAGCUGUUGCGGUGGGUGCUGCGGUGGCUGUUAACAUUGAAUGAGGGGACAAGGACUACACAAGGAUCGAUGUCAACUGAUGUGCAGAAACAUAUAAAAUACAUUCACCAUCUGCUAUUUAAUAUGAAGUGAGGCUGAAAAAUCGACCAUCAUUUGAAAAUCCGAAGUUGUAUUACCUGUGGGCUAAGGAAUGGAGUUAAAUGCUGCAGAUCCCUAAAAAAAAAAAGAGAACAGUUGUUUCGGAACUACAGGAAUGCAGAUUUAGAUAUUUUUUAAAAUAAGAAAAUUUUGCACAAGAUCAAAUAAAAAAUUUUGUUUUGAAAAAUGAA
This is a long non-coding RNA of Drosophila mojavensis, 2117 nucleotides long. RefSeq lists it as uncharacterized. NCBI's taxonomy places the organism in Eukaryota, Metazoa, Arthropoda, Insecta, Diptera, Drosophilidae. The transcript is spliced from 3 exons. The record is from RefSeq and is a predicted model, not a curated record.